Small nuclear RNA from Rattus norvegicus (Norway rat), 63 nucleotides. Ensembl annotates it as U7 small nuclear RNA. NCBI's taxonomy places the organism in Eukaryota, Metazoa, Chordata, Mammalia, Rodentia, Muridae. The record is from Ensembl.
GAGUUAACACAGCUCUUUAAGCAUCUUUCUAGCAGGUUUUUUGACUUUGGUAGAAAAACCCAG